AAGGAGGGGGGGGGCUGUUUGUUAAAAUGUAUGCAUCACUUAUCUUAUUCUCUUUUCCCUUAUCCUUACACCCCCUCCCCCACUCCCCCCCCCUCUCUCUCUCUCUCUCUCUCUCUCUCUCUGCAGUAAAUAAAAGAUUAAACGAAUGUUCUAAAAAAAACAGACUGGUCACCAGAAGAUAAUUGUUUCAGCUUUGUUUACUGUGCGGAGAGACUGCGAGAGAGGGAGAGAGAGAGAAGGAGUGCUGGUUGGUGUCCUUGGACUGGAGGGGAAGAUAAACUUUAUUUCAAGUAUACUUCCUCCCUCUCUUUCACUCUGUUUUCCUCUCCCUCCACUCCCUGCUGUACCAAAAUCAGAAGUCUCUUAUGUACAGAGCUCAACAGCACUGCCUAAUGUCAUUACAUCCCACAGUCAAACCCGUCCUUCAGUGCACCAGCUGGGGGAAUUCCCCAAUUUAAUCAAUAACCUUU
Molecule: long non-coding RNA, 470 nt
Filed under: Lepisosteus oculatus (spotted gar)
Lineage: Eukaryota; Metazoa; Chordata; Actinopteri; Semionotiformes; Lepisosteidae
Description: lncRNA (ENSLOCG00000021856.1)
Source: RNAcentral